CAGUCGAACGAUGACCACUUCGGUGGGGAUUAGUGGCGAACGGGUGAGUAACACGUGGGCAAUCUGCCCUUCACUCUGGGACAAGCCCUGGAUACGGGGUCUAAUACCGGAUAACACUUCCACUCGCAUGGGUGGGGGUUAAAAGCUCCGGCGGUGAAUGAUGAGCCCGCGGCCUAUCAUCUUGUUGGUGAGGUAAUGGCUCACCAAGGCGACGACGGGUAACCAGCCUGAGAGGGCGACCGGCCACACUGGGACUGAGACACGGCCCAAACUCCUACGGAAGGCAGCAGUGGGGAAUAUUGCACAAUGGGCGAAAGCCUGAUGCAGCGACGCCGCGUGAGGGAUGACGGCCUUCGGGUUGUAAACCUCUUUCAGCACGGAAGAAGCGAGAGUGACGGUACCUGCAUAAGAAGCGCCGGCUAACUACGUGCCAGCAGCCGCGGUAAUACGUAGGGCGCAAGCGUUGUCCGGAAUUAUUGGGCG
This 483-nucleotide ribosomal RNA is filed under the name bacterium 39-L049641-122-013-G05. Its description in RNAcentral is "bacterial SSU rRNA". It matches the Rfam family "Bacterial small subunit ribosomal RNA", at positions 59 to 560 of the family's 1533-position model. The record is from RNAcentral.